GAGUGCGAUCAUACCAGCACUAAAGCACCGGAUCCCAUUAGAACUUCGAUUUUAAGUGUGCAUGGGCGAGAGUAGUACUAGGAUGGGUGACCCCCUGGGAAGUCCUCGUGUUGCACUAC
Molecule: ribosomal RNA, 119 nt
Filed under: Musa acuminata subsp. malaccensis (wild Malaysian banana)
Lineage: Eukaryota; Viridiplantae; Streptophyta; Magnoliopsida; Zingiberales; Musaceae
Source: RNAcentral